Molecule: ribosomal RNA, 467 nt
Filed under: uncultured bacterium
Lineage: Bacteria
Description: partial 16S ribosomal RNA
Rfam family: Bacterial small subunit ribosomal RNA
Source: RNAcentral
GACGAACGCUGGCGGCGUGCUUAACACAUGCAAGUCGAACGGAAAGGCCCUGCUUUUGUGGGGUGCUCGAGUGGCGAACGGGUGAGUAACACGUGAGUAACCUGCCCUGACCUUGGGAUAACUUCAGGGAACCGGGGGUAAUACCGGAUAAGAAUUUCUGCCGCCGGGUGGGGGGUUGGAAGUUUCGGCGGUUGGGGAUGGACUCGCGGCUUAUCAGCCUGUUGGUGGGGUAGUGGCUUACCAAGGCUUUGACGGGUAGCCGGCCUGAGAGGGUGACCGGCCACAUUGGGACUGAGAUACGGCCCAGACUCCUACGGGAGGCAGCAGUGGGGAAUAUUGCACAAUGGGCGGAAGCCUGAUGCAGCAACGCCGCGUGCGGGAUGACGGCCUUCGGGUUGUAAACCGCUUUCGCCUGUGACGAAGCGUGAGUGACGGUAAUGGGUAAAGAAGCACCGGCUAACUACGUG